UGUUUCCUCAGUCUGCGAGCUGAGAACAUCUAGGCCUUGUGCAAGACAAAAUUGGAAAAGUUAAAUUCACUUCGUAUGUUAUUUGUUGUGAAAGGAAAAGAAGAUAAGACAACCGGGAUUGUCUCACUUCCUUACAACGAGGCAAUGAAUGUUAUUCUUGUGUGCUUACAACAGAAAUUGGAAUUGGACGUGUUGUAUGUGGUUCUGAGAAACUUUCCAGAGGCACUGCAAGAUAAAAACUUGAUACAUUCUUGAAAGCACUACUUGCAUUAAAUAUGUACAGUGUUAUCUAAAAUGUUUUGUCUGAUGCGCACUUUGGAGAUUGGUUUGGUUGCUCAUUCCACGACCUUAUGCGUUUCCUGUCUCACCAUAUGUAUGUUAGAAAUGCUUUGCCAGUUAUGACAAGAUACUCUCAAUACACG
RNAcentral lists this long non-coding RNA (422 nucleotides) under Dendronephthya gigantea. RNAcentral describes it as "uncharacterized LOC114545067, transcript variant X1". The record is from RNAcentral. Lineage: Eukaryota; Metazoa; Cnidaria; Anthozoa; Malacalcyonacea; Nephtheidae.